RNAcentral lists this ribosomal RNA (201 nucleotides) under Triticum aestivum (bread wheat). Its description in RNAcentral is "partial small subunit ribosomal RNA". Lineage: Eukaryota; Viridiplantae; Streptophyta; Magnoliopsida; Poales; Poaceae. The record is from RNAcentral.
AUGAGAUGGCUUCUUGAAAAUACUCGGGUUGAGAUAUGCCCGACGGCAUAUAAUGAGGAUAUUCUUGAAGAACCCGUAAACUUUGAGGAUCUAUCAAAGGGGAAGUACAAUAGAGAUGUCAGGGAAGGGCAAGGAGUCCCUGCUGUUCCGGUGAUUAACUAUGUGCGCACCGAGAUCAAGAAAGCAGCUGAUGAGAGCUAG